Molecule: transfer RNA, 65 nt
Filed under: Tomicus piniperda (common pine shoot beetle)
Lineage: Eukaryota; Metazoa; Arthropoda; Insecta; Coleoptera; Curculionidae
Description: tRNA-Phe
Source: RNAcentral
AUUUAAGUAGCUUAUAUUUAGAGCAUAGUAUUGAAGAUACUAAAGAAGUGAUUAACUCUUAAAUA